AUCGCGGACUCGCCUACAGUCUUCAGUAAGCAAAUUGACUCAUCAAGAUGACUAAACUAACUCUCAUAAUUUUGUCUUUGGCGGUAGUGUUGUGCCUAAUAUCACUAUCAGGAGUAUCGUGUGAAUACGACGCUGAUGAAUCAGACGUUGAUCAGGAUGCUUUCCCCAAUGACAUGGAUUGGGAAGAUGGUGGCCAUUUUGAAAGCAAAAGACAUUUAAAACCACAAAAGAAGAAGAAUUCGUUUCAAUAAUUUGCACAUACAAACACAUUUCUAAUACAUAUCAAUUGUUGAUUGCUUAAUUUUGGUGAUAUACUAAUAAACGUGCUGCAAUUUCA
Photinus pyralis (common eastern firefly) is the source of this 337-nucleotide long non-coding RNA. RefSeq lists it as uncharacterized. NCBI's taxonomy places the organism in Eukaryota, Metazoa, Arthropoda, Insecta, Coleoptera, Lampyridae. The transcript is spliced from 3 exons. The record is from RefSeq and is a predicted model, not a curated record.